RNAcentral lists this transfer RNA (63 nucleotides) under Nephotettix virescens. RNAcentral describes it as "tRNA-Cys". The record is from RNAcentral. Lineage: Eukaryota; Metazoa; Arthropoda; Insecta; Hemiptera; Cicadellidae.
AGUUUUAUAGUUAAAAAAUAAUAUUAAAUUGCAAAUUUAAAGAUGAUUAAAUAUCUAAGACUU